AUUGAACGCUGGCGGCAUGCCUUACACAUGCAAGUCGAACGGCAGCACGGGUGCUUGCACCUGGUGGCGAGUGGCGAACGGGUGAGUAAUACAUCGGAACAUGUCCUGUAGUGGGGGAUAGCCCGGCGAAAGCCGGAUUAAUACCGCAUACGAUCCACGGAUGAAAGCGGGGGACCUUCGGGCCUCGCGCUAUAGGGUUGGCCGAUGGCUGAUUAGCUAGUUGGUGGGGUAAAGGCCUACCAAGGCGACGAUCAGUAGCUGGUCUGAGAGGACGACCAGCCACACUGGGACUGAGACACGGCUCAGACUCCUACGGGAGGCAGCAGUGGGGAAUUUUGGACAAUGGGCGAAAGCCUGAUCCAGCAAUGCCGCGUGUGUGAAGAAGGCCUUCGGGUUGUAAAGCACUUUUGUCCGGAAAGAAAUCCUUGGCUCUAAUACAGUCGGGGGAUGACGGUACCGGAAGAAUAAGCACCGGCUAACUACGUG
This 486-nucleotide ribosomal RNA is filed under the name uncultured bacterium. RNAcentral describes it as "partial 16S ribosomal RNA". It matches the Rfam family "Bacterial small subunit ribosomal RNA", at positions 30 to 507 of the family's 1533-position model. The record is from RNAcentral.